Molecule: ribosomal RNA, 252 nt
Filed under: uncultured Bacteroidales bacterium
Lineage: Bacteria; Pseudomonadati; Bacteroidota; Bacteroidia; Bacteroidales
Description: partial 16S ribosomal RNA
Rfam family: Bacterial small subunit ribosomal RNA
Source: RNAcentral
UACGGAGGAUGCGAGCGUUAUCCGGAUUUAUUGGGUUUAAAGGGUGCGCAGGCGGAGGUGCAAGUCAGUGGUCAAAUUGCGGGGCUCAACCCCGUACUGCCGUUGAAACUGCAUCCCUUGAGUGCGCGAGAAGUAUGCGGAAUGCGUGGUGUAGCGGUGAAAUGCUUAGAUAUCACGAAGAACUCCGAUUGCGAAGGCAGCCUGCUGGACUGUAACUGACGCUGAUGCUCGAAAGUGUGGGUAUCAAACAGG